Molecule: ribosomal RNA, 461 nt
Filed under: uncultured bacterium
Lineage: Bacteria
Description: partial 16S ribosomal RNA
Rfam family: Bacterial small subunit ribosomal RNA
Source: RNAcentral
CCUACGGGUGGCAGCAGUGAGGAAUAUUGGUCAAUGGGCGCGAGUCUGAACCAGCCAAGUCGCGUGAGGGAGGACGGCCCUACGGGUUGUAAACCUCUUUUGCCGGGGAGCAACGGGCGUCACGUGUGGCGCCACUGAGAGUACCCGGAGAAAAAGCAUCGGCUAACUCCGUGCCAGCAGCCGCGGUAAUACGGAGGAUGCGAGCGUUAUCCGGAUUUAUUGGGUUUAAAGGGUGCGUAGGCGGAUCGUUAAGUCAGUUGUGAAAGUUUGCGGCUCAACCGUAAAAUUGCAGUUGAUACUGGCAGCCUUGAGUACAGUAGAGGGAGGCGGAAUUCGUGGUGUAGCGGUGAAAUGCUUAGAUAUCACGAAGAACUCCGAUUGCGAAGGCAGCCUGCUGGACUGUAACUGACGCUGAUGCUCGAAAGUGUGGGUAUCAAACAGGAUUAGAUACCCUAGUAGUC